This is a long non-coding RNA of Dermacentor andersoni, 611 nucleotides long. RefSeq lists it as uncharacterized. NCBI's taxonomy places the organism in Eukaryota, Metazoa, Arthropoda, Arachnida, Ixodida, Ixodidae. The record is from RefSeq and is a predicted model, not a curated record.
ACUUAUCAAUCAUCGACAUCAACAACGUCACCAUCGGCAACGCAGAGUUGGGACAGGAGGUGGCCGUGGACGUGAGAGUCGAAGUUCUCCGAUCUUUUGGAAGCUAUCCCGUCUUGGAAAUAUACGUCAACACCACAAAAGGAGAGCAACUUCCGUGCUUCUACAGUUAUCUGCCGAAAGAAGCGAGGCUUUGUUACGUCACGACGGCGGUGGAAUUAAAACUGAGUUCAGAGUGGAACAACAGUUGCCCCAUAAGACCAGGUGGAUACACCGCCCACCUUGCAUUCAAGCUUCCUAACGUUCCAUCUGCGGAGUCCUGCAUAGGAGAUGGGGAUUUGGUCUUCACUUUGAAAAUCCGGGACGAAGGUUAUGUUUUGGACUGUGUGACAUUUCCUGUCAAGAUUGAUCGUCGUUGAACACGGCGCCAACUCUUCACAAAUGAUUCGAGCUGUAUUUUGCUACAAUGAAAGCAAUACAGAAGGGAGAAAUAUGAACCUAUAACUGGGAAGUUCUACGUUGGUUACAGCAGUUUCUCUAUAAAAAAAACUAUUGAUUGUAUGCUGUCUUUGUUUCCUUUAGUAGAGUGAGACUGAAAAAAAAAUCAUACAUUU